CUAUGCUUCUCUCUCCUUCCCAUUACUGUUCUCUCUCCUCCUUUUGGACCUGCUGCUGCUUUCCUCAAACUAAGUCUUGGACCCUCUACUCUCAACCUGGGUCAGUUGUAGUUCUCUUCCAUUUCCUGACCUUCCCACCUAGACCCCCACUACCCACACUCCCCUCAGACCCUCCCCCACCCACACUCCCCUCAGACCCCCUCCCUGGCUCUGGCUCAGCUCUGCCUUGCUCCUAGCCUGCCAGUGCAGCCAUGAGGGGGCACUCAGCAGUCUCUGUGAAAAGACCAGUGGGCAAUGUCCCUGUCGAACUGGUGCCUUUGGGCUUCGCUGUGACCGCUGCCAGCGUGGCCAGUGGGGAUUCCCUAGCUGCCGGCCAUGUGUCUGCAAUGGGCAUGCAGAUGAGUGCAACACCCACACAGGCGCUUGCCUGGGCUGCCGUGAUCACACAGGGGGUGCAUUGCUGGUUUCCAUGGGGACCCACGGCUGCCAUAUGGGGGCCAGUGCCGGCCCUGUCCCUGUCCUGAAGGCCCUGGGAGCCAACGGCACUUUGCUACUUCUUGCCACCGGGAUGAAUAUUCCCAGCAGAUUGUGUGCCACUGCCGGGCAGGCUACACGGGUGAGUGGAUGGGGGCAGGCAUGGGAUCAGGGUGAGUUGACUGGGCUGAGCACUCACAGCUUCCUCUUGACCGUGGGCAGGGCUGCGAUGUGAAGCUUGUGCCCCUGGGCACUUUGGGGACCCAUCAAGGCCAGGUGGCCGGUGCCAACUGUGUGAGUGCAGUGGGAACAUUGACCCAAUGGAUCCUGAUGCCUG
RNAcentral lists this small RNA (811 nucleotides) under Pongo abelii (Sumatran orangutan). Its description in RNAcentral is "processed transcript". Lineage: Eukaryota; Metazoa; Chordata; Mammalia; Primates; Hominidae. The record is from RNAcentral.